This 79-nucleotide unclassified non-coding RNA is filed under the name Batrachochytrium dendrobatidis. RNAcentral's name for it is "partial ITS1". The record is from RNAcentral. Lineage: Eukaryota; Fungi; Chytridiomycota; Chytridiomycetes; Rhizophydiales.
AGUCGAACAAAAUUUAUUUGUUUUUUCGACAAAUUAAUUGGAAAUGAUUUAAUUUAAUCCAAAAAUAAUUGAAAAAAAA